This 253-nucleotide ribosomal RNA is filed under the name uncultured microorganism. RNAcentral's name for it is "partial 16S ribosomal RNA". It matches the Rfam family "Bacterial small subunit ribosomal RNA", at positions 524 to 776 of the family's 1533-position model. The record is from RNAcentral.
UACGCAGGUGGCGAGCGUUGCCCGGAAUCACUGGGCGUAAAGGGUGCGUAGGCGGCCGUGUAAGUCCGGUGUGAAAUGCCACGGCUCAACCGUGGAACUGCGCUGGAAACUACACGGCUUGAGGACGGUAGAGGGAGACGGAACUGCUGGUGUAGGGGUGAAAUCCGUAGAUAUCAGCAGGAACGCCGGUGGAGAAGUCGGUCUCCUGGGCCGUUCCUGACGCUGAGGCCCGAAAGCUAGGGGAGCAAACCGG